RNAcentral lists this ribosomal RNA (301 nucleotides) under uncultured bacterium. Its description in RNAcentral is "partial 16S ribosomal RNA". It matches the Rfam family "Bacterial small subunit ribosomal RNA", at positions 509 to 807 of the family's 1533-position model. The record is from RNAcentral.
CAGUCGCCGCGGGAAUACAGAGGGUGCGAGCGUUAAUCGGAUUUACUGGGCGUAAAGCGUGCGCAGGCGGUUUGUUAAGACAGAUGUGAAAUCCCCGGGCUCAACCUGGGAACUGCAUUUGUGACUGGCAAGCUAGAGUGUGGCAGAGGGGGGUGGAAUUCCGCGUGUAGCAGUGAAAUGCGUAGAUAUGCGGAGGAACACCGAUGGCGAAGGCAGCCCCCUGGGCCAACACUGACGCUCAUGCACGAAAGCGUGGGGAGCAAACAGGAUUAGAUACCCCAGUAGUCCCUGUCUCUUAUAC